Molecule: ribosomal RNA, 500 nt
Filed under: uncultured bacterium
Lineage: Bacteria
Description: partial 16S ribosomal RNA
Rfam family: Bacterial small subunit ribosomal RNA
Source: RNAcentral
AUUGAACGCUGGCGGAAUGCUUUACACAUGCAAGUCGAACGGCAGCACGGACUUCGGUCUGGUGGCGAGUGGCGAACGGGUGAGUAAUGUAUCGAAACGUGCCCAGUCGUGGGGGAUAACGUAGUGAAAAUUACGCUAAUACCGCAUACGAUCUAUGGAUGAAAGCGGGGGAUCGCAAGACCUCGCGCGAUUGGAGCGGCCGAUAUCAGAUUAGGUAGUUGGUGGGGUAAAGGCCCACCAAGCCAACGAUCUGUAGCUGGUCUGAGAGGACGACCAGCCACACUGGAACUGGGGCACGGUCCAGACUCCUACGGGAGGCAGCAGUGGGGAAUUUUGGACAAUGGGCGAAAGCCUGAUCCAGCCAUUCCGCGUGCAGGAUGAAGGCCCUCGGGUUGUAAACUGCUUUUGUACAGAACGAAAAGGUUUCUACUAAUACUAGGAGCUCAUGACGGUACUGUAAGAAUAAGCACCGGCUAACUACGUGCCAGCCGCCGCGGUAA